GACGAACGCUGGCGGCGUGCUUAACACAUGCAAGUCGAACGGAAAGGCCCUGCUUUUGUGGGGUGCUCGAGUGGCGAACGGGUGAGUAACACGUGAGUAACCUGCCCUUGACUUUGGGAUAACUUCAGGAAACUGGGGCUAAUACCGGAUAGGAGCUCCUGCUGCAUGGUGGGGGUUAGAAAGUUUCGGCGGUUGGGGAUGGACUCGCGGCUUAUCAGCUUGUUGGUGGGGUAGUGGCUUACCAAGGCUCUGACGGGUAGCCGGCCUGAGAGGGUGACCGGCCACAUUGGGACUGAGAUACGGCCCAGACUCCUACGGGAGGCAGCAGUAAGGAAUAUUGCACAAUGGGCGGAAGCCUGAUGCAGCAACGCCGCGUGCGGGAUGACGGCCUUCGGGUUGUAAACCGCUUUCGCCUGUGACGAAGCGUGAGUGACGGUAAUGGGUAAAGAAGCACCGGCUAACUACGUG
RNAcentral lists this ribosomal RNA (468 nucleotides) under uncultured bacterium. Its description in RNAcentral is "partial 16S ribosomal RNA". It matches the Rfam family "Bacterial small subunit ribosomal RNA", at positions 28 to 507 of the family's 1533-position model. The record is from RNAcentral.